UCAGGAAAUAACACGGAUCCAGUUUCUUGACAUUUUAAUGUUUUUGUUUCAUCAGCUGUUGUACCACAUGAUAUAAAACAAAGGAAAAACAACGACUAAAUCCUAAAGUAUUACAACAGAAGUUGACACAUCGAUUGUUCAGACGAUACAGAUGCUUUUGUGAGAAGACCGAUCUUCGUCCACCGUCCACCGCAGAUGCAGGAAGGCCGACAUCGGCGGAUCCGGUGGAUUGAGACACAGCCCAUGCACCUGAUAUAUCUAGCUUAAUAAACCGACAGGUUUUUAUGGGGAUUUAAAAAAAAAUCAUCUUACUUAGAUUGACGCACGGGUGAUUAAUGCAAGGAGAACAAAGUCAUUACAGGACAGGUGGCAACUGAUGCAUUCAUUUCACUCCAUUGCAUUGGCUUGGCAGGACAAAACCGUUGUGCCCUACUGGUUUGGAGGCAAAGGAAGACCCGAUCACUUGGCAGAGUAUGGAUGAGGAUGCCCUUAAAAGACUGGGGAAGAGCUGGUGCAUUGCGCCACAGUACAGGCAGACAUGUAUAGGGAAGAUGUGGGAUCUACGUUGAUCAGGGACCUGAGCCCUCGGACCAUGCCUCAGGACUACCUGGCAUGAUGACUCCUUGCUGUCCCC
Molecule: long non-coding RNA, 634 nt
Organism: Oncorhynchus gorbuscha (pink salmon)
Lineage: Eukaryota; Metazoa; Chordata; Actinopteri; Salmoniformes; Salmonidae
Exons: 5
Source: RefSeq, a predicted model, not a curated record